UUCUUCUUUUUUUUUCCACUUAUCUUGCCUGACAAAAAAAUACCCAAAUAAGAAAAACACAAAGUAGAGAUUAAAAGGCUAAUCUACUAUAUUCGGGUCGAGCUGCAACAAGGAAAUACUAUGUGAACUGACAAAGAAAUAUGCUACGAAUCCUUAUUAAAAAACUAAUAAACAAUAAAGGAAGGUUCUCAGAUUAUUAUAAUAAAAACAAAGUAUCUUUACUUUUCCUAUUGUGUGUGCUUGCAGAUCUGGAAGAAACCAGAAAUAUUUUUGACCCAUUACUCAAAAAGAAAAACACCU
This 300-nucleotide long non-coding RNA is filed under the name Capsicum annuum. RNAcentral's name for it is "long non-coding RNA (CANN_LNC010229)". Lineage: Eukaryota; Viridiplantae; Streptophyta; Magnoliopsida; Solanales; Solanaceae. The record is from RNAcentral.